RNAcentral lists this ribosomal RNA (612 nucleotides) under bacterium. RNAcentral's name for it is "bacterial SSU rRNA". It matches the Rfam family "Bacterial small subunit ribosomal RNA", at positions 1 to 630 of the family's 1533-position model. The record is from RNAcentral.
UAGAGUUUGAUCCUGGCUCUAGUGAACGCUGGCGGCGUGCUUAACACAUGCAAGUCGAACGAGAACGGAUUAUAGCUUGCUAUAAUUGUCAGCUAAGUGGCGCACGGGUGAGUAAUGUAUAGAUAACCUGCCCUCUAGAAAGGAAUAACAGAUGGAAACGUCUGCUAAUGCCCUAUAUGCCUUUAAUACAUAAGUAUGCAAGGGAAACGCUUUAGUGCUAGAGGAUGGGUCUGUAUGGUAUCAGCUUGUUGGUGAGGUAAUGGCUCACCAAGGCAAUGACGCCUAACUGGUUUGAGAGGAUGAUCAGUCACACUGGAACUGAGACACGGUCCAGACUCCUACGGGAGGCAGCAGUGGGGAAUAUUGCACAAUGGACGAAAGUCUGAUGCAUCAACGCCGCGUGGAGGAUGACACAUUUCGGUGCGUAAACUCCUUUUAUAUAUGAAGAUAAUGACGGUACUAUAUGAAUAAGCACCGGCUAACUCCGUGCCAGCAGCCGCGGUAAUACGGAGGGUGCUAGCGUUACUCGGAAUCACUGGGCGUAAAGAGCGUGUAGGCGGGUAUAUAAGUCAGAAGUGAAAUCCAAUAGCUUAACUAUUGAACUGCUUUUGA